Long non-coding RNA from Photinus pyralis (common eastern firefly), 662 nucleotides. RefSeq lists it as uncharacterized. NCBI's taxonomy places the organism in Eukaryota, Metazoa, Arthropoda, Insecta, Coleoptera, Lampyridae. The transcript is spliced from 2 exons. The record is from RefSeq and is a predicted model, not a curated record.
UUGUUGUAGCUGAUUACCGGAGUAGGUACAAAAAGUAGCGGAUAUGACUAAACCGUGCCCUAAUACCAGGGGUGCUAAAGGCUUCUAAAUUUGUAGCAUGCGUUUAUGUAACUGCCUUAGAUCGUUAUCCAAAUCCUAAAUUUGCUAUUUUCCCAUUUUAAUAGUAAAUUAGUCAAACCAAGCUUCCACUUUCAAAACUUCCUUCAAUAAUUGACUGUAAUUACCGACCGUGCGUAAAGCGGAAUUUUUUAAUGUUUUAACCCUUAAGCGUAAUCUAAUUUUCUAUAUAAAACAUUUAGGUGACACUUUCUUUACUAGUAUCAAUUGAGCUCUCAAGCGUAGUAAUUGAUUUCAAUCGUCAUGUACAAGGUUGUACUGUUAAUAUUCGCAAUUGUUGUCGCUGUUGCGGCACUACCUGCUCCAGAAGGCCGAUACGUGUCAUAUGCACCAGUAUGGGGUGGCGGUUUUGGACUGGGAUUUACAAAGAGGAUUGGAAUUGGAUUUAAUUUUCGCAGGCCUUUAUUCAGUUAUGUUCCACGAUACGUACCCUCAUAUUACGCACCAUUCCAUAAACAUAUACACGUCGGCGUUGGAUACUUAGGAUAGAGACAACAAAUGCAUUUAAGUUAUAUUAUAUUAGUAAAAAAAUGAUUUAUGUACAA